Molecule: long non-coding RNA, 484 nt
Filed under: Laticauda laticaudata (blue-ringed sea krait)
Lineage: Eukaryota; Metazoa; Chordata; Lepidosauria; Squamata; Elapidae
Description: lncRNA (ENSLLTG00000003823.1)
Source: RNAcentral
AUGGCAGAUCAUGGCAGAGCGCAGAGAGCUCCCUACCCCUGCCAAGUACCUUUGCCGCAGACCCAGGUAUGGUGCUGGCUGCAGGUGGGGUCAGUGGGUGGGCAGAGGUGUGGAUGGUGGCAGCAGCGGGGCACUUUGCGUUGCAGGACCUUUGUCGGCUGCCACUUGCCCUUCUGCCCUCGCCCCGGCUUAUGCUGCGUUUGGAGUGCUGCCAGCAGCGGCUGGACACACCCGGCUGUUGAUGAGAACCACCUGCCCUUUAGCAGGGGCAUCGUUUUGCUUGACGGUGGCUGCGUUGACAACGUCCUGAAAGUUGCUUCCCAGAGGAUUCUCCUGCUGAUUCAUUCAUUCAGCUUCCUCCGUCCUGCCAGCCUGUAUUCUUCGGGAACUGAUGAAAACCAAGCUUAAAGAGAGGUCAAAGAUCCACGGAGGCUUUGGGCAGCUGGAGCAAGAGGAGAGCUCCCGACUAUACAGCUGAACGAGC